Molecule: unclassified non-coding RNA, 431 nt
Filed under: soil metagenome
Description: partial contains 5.8S ribosomal RNA, internal transcribed spacer 2, and large subunit ribosomal RNA
Rfam family: 5.8S ribosomal RNA (bases 1-120)
Source: RNAcentral
GAUGAAGAACGUAGCGAAAUGCGAUACGUAAUGUGAAUUGCAGAAUUCAGUGAAUCAUCGAAUCUUUGAACGCACAUUGCACUCUCUGGUAUUCCGGAGAGUAUGCUUGUUUGAGUAUCUGUAAACAUCUCAAAUCUCUCUUCAAUUGCUUCAAUUGUGUCGAGAGAAUUGGAUUUGAGCGAUCCCGACUCCUUCGUCAGAAAGAGGAGGGUCGCUUGAAAUGCAGGUGCAGCUGGACAUUCUUCUGAGCAAAAAGCAUAUCUAUUUAGUCCCGUCAAACGGAUUAUUACUUUUGCUUCAGCUAAUAUAAAGGUUGAAUGAACUACCAACGCUGAUUGCAGGAAAACAUGUUCGUUUAUUCGGACUUGUAAACUCGAUCUCAAAUCAAGUAAGACUACCCGCUGAACUUAAGCAUAUCAAUAAGCGGAGGA